RNAcentral lists this transfer RNA (73 nucleotides) under Pelodiscus sinensis (Chinese soft-shelled turtle). It matches the Rfam family "tRNA". Rfam says of the family: Transfer RNA (tRNA) molecules are approximately 80 nucleotides in length. Their secondary structure includes four short double-helical elements and three loops (D, anti-codon, and T loops). Further hydrogen bonds mediate the characteristic L-shaped molecular structure. tRNAs have two regions of fundamental functional importance: the anti-codon, which is responsible for specific mRNA codon recognition, and the 3' end, to which the tRNAs corresponding amino acid is attached (by aminoacyl-tRNA synthetases). tRNAs cope with the degeneracy of the genetic code in two manners: having more than one tRNA (with a specific anti-codon) for a particular amino acid; and 'wobble' base-pairing, i.e. permitting non-standard base-pairing at the 3rd anti-codon position. The record is from Rfam by way of RNAcentral. Lineage: Eukaryota; Metazoa; Chordata; Testudines; Trionychidae.
GACUGUGUGGCAUAAAGGAUAAGGGAUCUGACUUCAGAUCAGAAGAUUAAGGGGUCAAGUUCCUUCACAUUUA